UGUAGCUCAAAUUAUCGUCAACAACACAGACGUCAUUACUUCAGUGUUUCCACAAAUAAACUUUACAGACUGUCCAAUACCAGAUGAGGUGCCUUGUUCAGAUGCUGUUACCAGGAAUAGUGAAAUGUUGGGUUGUUUAACUUUUAUGGGGAGUUUGAAUUAUACCGUUCUGAAUCUAACAGAUACCUGUCUAUUAUACGUUGGAGGGUUGACGUGUAUGAGUAGAUAUCUAUCAUACAAAGGGAUACAAUGUUCACCAAAUAGUCUAAGUGCAGAAGUAGCUAAUAAUCUAUUGAAGAACAAUCUGACAACAAUGAACUUCAGUGUUUGUGAAGAUCAACUUGCGAAAUCAUCAAAUGCUAAUAUGUCUAUAUGUCAUAACGAUUAUGUCAUGUUGAAAUAUAUCCAAUCAGCAGCUUGUCUAAAGUCGGCUUCCAUACCACCCAAUUCAAACAAAGAAAUGACCUGUCAGUUUAUGAGCUUUGUAGUUGAUUGUGCUAUCAAUAGUUUAAAAUCGUCCAUGAUUUCUUGUUCUGGAAGACAUGUAACCCAAAUUCUGAUAAACAACGCACCUGCCAUAACAUCACUGUAUCCAUCAUUAAACUUCACAAACUGUCGAAUAACAGAUAAUACAACAAUGCCAUCCAUGACGACGCCAUCUUAUCCCACUACCUGUACGUGGGAUAUGAUCACCUCUUUGGCUGGCCAAUAUUGUGCAGAAACCAUCUCGGCCUUUAAUACCACGACUCGGGAUA
Patella vulgata (common limpet) is the source of this 755-nucleotide long non-coding RNA. RefSeq lists it as uncharacterized. The transcript is spliced from 6 exons. NCBI's taxonomy places the organism in Eukaryota, Metazoa, Mollusca, Gastropoda, Patellidae. The record is from RefSeq and is a predicted model, not a curated record.